UAUGGCUAUUCAGGAGGGUAUCCAUGAUCAAUACAGACUAAAUACAAUGCACUACUCUAGCCUGGCUCAUUCCCAACCCUAUGUACAGCAUGGAAGAUGGGGGGGAGGUGCUGACAUAACACAAUAGCAAGAAAUAUAUUUAACAGCUCCAGAUCCAGAAACAAUACAUACCCAAAAGAAAACACUGUUUAAUAACGGUUAAAGUUUAUAUAGCAAAAAAUAGUUUAAAUUUAAGGUAAGUCAGGCAAAAUGUACAAAGACCCAAUAUACAUUGUGAAAUUUUUGCAAACAUAACAUACAUUUUGGUUCCGUUCUGUAAACUAAAUAAAACAUGUAAAUAUUGCAUGUGCCUUUUUUUGAAAUGUACAGGAUAGAGGAAAAUUCAGUAUAUAUUAUCAGCUUCUUGGCUGCUCAUUUAGGCUGCACGGGGCGUGGGGAGCGCCAGCUGAGGUUCCCUUCCGGCCCACGGUGCUGCGCCCACCGAUUCCUAACGAGAGAAAGCUCCAGAACAUUCUACACAUCUUAGCAAAGCGUAUCAUACAUGGAGUCGGCCUUCAAACCAACUAUGCAUGGCUGCGACGCGUAGCUCAGAGAAGCAAAACCUCAGAAAUGGUCAGGAGCACUUUACAUUCAACUUCGUCUUGCAGUACAGUCCUCGCUUCUAAAGAGUUCAGCACGAAAGCAGGAAGACUUUUGCAUUGCCAUUAAAUACAUCUUAAGACAUUGAAAUUUUUGGUCUUCCUCUACAAAGCCUCAUUAAUGCAUUACUCUAUAAUGAUAUAGAUCUAUAUAUUUAUAUAUAUAUAUAAUAUUUUUUUCUCCAAAACAAAAAGUAACAACAGAAGAAACCAAUGAACAAGUCACAUCUCCAAGAAUUAGUGGGGCCUCUACAGGACGACAGGGGAGACAGGCACUGGGGCGGGGUCCAGCCACGAGUCCGGAGCCUCUGGGACAGGGAUGGCUUCCGUUGCGGCCACCACACUGGCAUCUCCAGAACACUGACCAGAGAAGCAGGGUGCCCCUCCUGUCGAGGGUUUCUCUGACAAGCACGGCGUCCUGCAAGACUGCUUUCCUUCUUUAUCUUUCCCAUGACCAGCGAGGGAGCCAGAAUGCGCUCUCUCUCUCUCAAUUCAGGGUAGCCUUGGUGGCCAACAUCAGACUGGCAUAUUUAAAGAUCAUAAUACAUUUUAAACACAAAAUCUGCCAAACCCAGACCAGCCUGGAAUCGCUUGCUGCCCACAUGCACUUUUGGUUAAGGAAAGGCCAGUCCUCGGCGGGACAACAGACAGCUGAGCCAGUGGCAGUGGCUUCUGCCUGCAGAGGUACCUGCCUGGCGUCCAUGCAGCAGUCAGGGGUCAAGAGCUCUCCAUGCCCUCCGGGGCCUCUCUCCACCCCAUGCUCUGACACUGAGGGGCUGCAGAGACACCAACUACUCUGUGGCUCUGUCUUCCAAGUUCAAUCCCAGGUCUCCCCACAUAGAGUGACUGCAGUCCCGCUAUGCUCUUCCAAAGCCAGAGUUGCAGGGGGGAUGCGGCCACCGCCGAAGACAGGGAAACACGGCCCGACUCCGGAGUCCCUCCCUCGGGCAACUUAGGCGCAAAACUCAAAGCCAAACUCCAGCCACAGCAUGGGUGCAGGAGCAGCAGUGGCCGGAGAGCAGGGUCCGGGUCCUGGUCGGGCAGGGGGCAGCCGGUGAGGAGCCAGGAAACCGCAGGCAGCUUCGGGCGGGCGGCCAGGAAACAUUUGGGAUGCAUCCCCUCCGCCAGCCAGUGCAGCCAACGCCACUCCGCUUCACUCUGGAAGAGAAAGCAGAGGUCUUUGGAGCCGGACCACGCGUGGCACCCAUGUCUGCCCAGAUACCAGGGUGCCCGACAUGCGCAGGCCUCCAC
This 1889-nucleotide long non-coding RNA is filed under the name Heterocephalus glaber (naked mole-rat). Its description in RNAcentral is "lncRNA (ENSHGLG00000034093.1)". Lineage: Eukaryota; Metazoa; Chordata; Mammalia; Rodentia; Bathyergidae. The record is from RNAcentral.